Molecule: ribosomal RNA, 377 nt
Filed under: uncultured organism
Description: partial 16S ribosomal RNA
Rfam family: Bacterial small subunit ribosomal RNA
Source: RNAcentral
GUAGGUGGCAAGCGUUGUCCGGGAAUUAUUGGGGCGUAAAGCGCGCGCAGGCGGUUCUUUAAGUCUGAUGUGAAAGCCCACGGGCUCAACCGUGGGAGGGUCAUUGGAAACUGGAGAACUUGAGUACAGAAGAGGAAAGCGGAAUUCCACGUGUAGCGGUGAAAUGCAUAGAGAUGUGGAGGAACACCAGUGGCGAAGGCGGCUUUCUGGUCUGUAACUGACGCUGAGGCGCGAAAGCGUGGGGAGCAAACAGGAUUAGAUACCCUGGUAGUCCACGCCGUAAACGAUGAGUGCUAAGUGUUAGGGGGUUUCCGCCCCUUAGUGCUGCAGCUAACGCAUUAAGCACUCCGCCUGGGGAGUACGGCCGCAAAGGCUGA